This is a non-coding RNA of Canis lupus familiaris (dog), 66 nucleotides long. The record is from Rfam. Lineage: Eukaryota; Metazoa; Chordata; Mammalia; Carnivora; Canidae.
CCGCGAUGAUGGCAUUUCUUAGGACACCUUUGGAUUAACCGUGAGAACAGCUAUCAGCUGAGCGGC